Molecule: ribosomal RNA, 447 nt
Filed under: Staphylococcus saprophyticus
Lineage: Bacteria; Bacillati; Bacillota; Bacilli; Caryophanales; Staphylococcaceae
Description: bacterial SSU rRNA
Rfam family: Bacterial small subunit ribosomal RNA
Source: RNAcentral
GGCGGCGUGCCUAAUACAUGCAAGUCGAGCGAACAGAUAAGGAGCUUGCUCCUUUGACGUUAGCGGCGGACGGGUGAGUAACACGUGGGUAACCUACCUAUAAGACUGGGAUAACUUCGGGAAACCGGAGCUAAUACCGGAUAACAUUUGGAACCNCAUGGUUCUAAAGUGAAAGAUGGUUUUGCUAUCACUUAUAGAUGGACCCGCGCCGUAUUAGCUAGUUGGUAAGGUAACGGCUUANCAAGGCGACGAUACGUAGCCGACCUGAGAGGGUGAUCGGCCACACUGGAACUGAGACACGGUUCAUACNCCNNCGGGNGGCAGCAGUAGGGAAUCUUCCGCAAUGGGCGAAAGCCUGACGGAGCAACGCCGCGUGAGUGAUGAAGGGUUUCGGCUCGUAAAACUCUGUUAUUAGGGAAGAACAAACGUGUAAGUAACUGUGCACGU